GAUGAAGAACGUAGCGAAAUGCGAUACUUGGUGUGAAUUGCAGAAUCCCGUGAACCAUCGAGUCUUUGAACGCAAGUUGCGCCCGAAGCCAUUAGGCCGAGGGCACGCCUGCCUGGGCGUCACACGUCGUUGCCCCCCCAUCUACUCCUUCGGGAUUGCGGGGGGCGGAUGAUGGCCUCUCGUGCGCCUCGUCGCGCGGUUGGCCUAAAUGCCAAGUCCUCGGCGACGCACGCCACGACAAUCGGUGGUUGCGAAAUCUCGGUUGCCUGUCGUGUGCGGUCGUCGCGCAUCGAGGGCUCGAAAAAAUUGCCGGGCUUCGGCUCGACUUUCAACGCGACCCCAGGUCAGGCGGGGUUACCCGCUGAAUUUAAGCAUAUCAAUAAGCGGAGGA
RNAcentral lists this unclassified non-coding RNA (391 nucleotides) under soil metagenome. RNAcentral describes it as "partial contains 5.8S ribosomal RNA, internal transcribed spacer 2, and large subunit ribosomal RNA". The stretch from base 1 to 122 matches the Rfam family "5.8S ribosomal RNA", at positions 35 to 154 of the family's 154-position model. The record is from RNAcentral.